ACUCAACAGAUAGCUCAGUCGGUAGAGCAUGAGACUCUUAAUCUCGAGGUUGUGGGUUUGAGCCCCACAUUGGGUU
Molecule: non-coding RNA, 76 nt
Organism: Podarcis lilfordi (Lilford's wall lizard)
Lineage: Eukaryota; Metazoa; Chordata; Lepidosauria; Squamata; Lacertidae
Source: the annotation of a GenBank genome assembly